This is a non-coding RNA of Camellia sinensis, 3212 nucleotides long. Lineage: Eukaryota; Viridiplantae; Streptophyta; Magnoliopsida; Ericales; Theaceae. The record is from RefSeq and is a predicted model, not a curated record.
CUCACCCUUGUUCUCUGUUUAUUCUUCUUCACCACACCAAACCUCACCCCACUUCACAUGACCACAGAUCACCGCCACCGCCGCAAAUCGCCACCGCCACCGCUGCCAUCGCCACUGCCACAGAUCACAGUCGAGAUAUAACCGUGUGAAGCAAAUCAACCUUGAAUUUGCACAAGAUAUUGAAGACAAACAUCUUGAUAUCCUUAGAAGCAAGAUUGGAGUAUGAUACCCUUGGUACUUUUGUUAAAGCUGUUGUUGUUUAUCUUGGAACAACAUUAGUGAAGUUUAUUUGCCUGGCAACCUUUCUUAAGGUUUCUGAAAAUGACAGCUUUGACAUAUCAGGAGGUAAAUUUAAUCUUCGACAACCCAAAAUUUGGUCACUAUUGUCACAGAUUGGGUGUUUGUCAUCCUCCCAAGAAACCAGCUCCACGAGUGGUACUGCAUACCCCGUGAAUUAAGCCCAAGGACCAACCCAGAAGAUGUGAUUGGGAUCUACCCUGCUUGUCUUGCUGCUCACAAACUGAUACGCUUGCAAGGUGCUUAGUGUAGAACUCGCAUCCCCAAUGAGUCGAGAAUCAAGAACCACCGUUGCUCACCAUCGCAGAUGACCACCGCCGCUUAUCUUCCACCGUCGCACAUAAUCACAUCGCCACUUCCGCUCACCAUUGUCUUACCUCCCAUCGACAUUCAGGCAAUUCGAGCUUACUCAAGAAAUUCAUAUUCCUCUCUGUAGCCUCUCCAAUACCAAUCUCACAGUCAGAGACCUGAAGGUGCCUAAAACCAAAUUGGAGGAAGCAACAUUUAAACUAUUACAAGAGGCGAGCAAGUUUGAAUUCAUCCCCUUUAUCCCACAUGGCACAGCUUUAAUAAGAUUUCAAAGUUGGUGGACAGCCAAUAUGGAGGUGCACCUGGCAAUACCUCCUAAAGAUCUGCUAGUAGGGCUAAAUGUGCCCUCUCAAGCCAAGCCCAAAGAGAUUGGGACCACUGUUACUGUCUCCACUACCUCUAUCAUCCCAGCUCCUACUCAUGCUGCUUCAUCACCUCCUCUUAGGAUCACUAGGGUUGCUUCGAAGAAAGGAGUUCCACAGGAUGACUCUCCGUAGAGAGCUCAAGCUUUGAACAUUCUUAAGGGCAAGCAACAACAACAAAAGAAAAGAAAACUUCUGCUUGACCUUGAAGAACUUGAGGCUCACCUGGAAGAGAAAGAAGCAGAGAAGGAAAAAGAGACACCAUUGAAAAGAAAGAAGAAAAUGACAAUCUCUCUUUCUGAUCUCAUUGGUGAUCUUACUCAUAAGGUGGCUGCCAUGGCAGUGGAAGAAGAGCACUCCAAAGAAAUUAUUGUAUUUCAGAGGUUUGAAAAGAGAAGGCAGUAGCAAAUACUAAGGGAUGAGGUUGCUGUUGUUGAUGCACUACAAAGGGAGGCUGCAAGGAAGAAACAACUUGUUGAGCAUUGCUCCCUUCGCAGUUCUCCAACCAACACCACUACAACCUCUGAAGCUACAGCAGUCAUUCCUUCUUCGACAUUGGCUUCCUCAGCCUCAAAAGGAACAAGGAAGGCUUAUACUGAAACGCCAAUGAGUAUGCCCAUUUAGAUGAUGCUUCUACUUCCCAGCUCUAUAUUCCCCAUGCCUUCCUCUUUGAAGCACAACAUCCCUCCUUCUUUAUGCCUAGGCUUAAUUUCAUAUUUGUCCCAUCUAUUUUUCAUCUCAUCCCAUUCUACCCCUCCUGUAGUCUUGGCUGCCCCUUUACCACCUGAGAGAAUUCCAGUUGCCAUUUCAUCUUUAGUGGUGAUCAGUACUAGCAAGGAAGGCACUGGUGGCUCACUAAUUCCUUUCCCACAGUCCAGCUCUAGUCCCUCUUCUCUUGACCUACUGGCGGCCAGGACAAUAGACACUACUAGGGACAACUCCACUUCUUCUCCUAUCCUCAAGUUUCCAUCUUUUCCUUCAAUCAGCGACUCUUCUAUAUUACCAAUGUCAGAGGAUGAGAUGGACAUCAUCGAGGCUCAACUGGCCAGCUUAUUUGGCAUAUCUUCACGAGUUUGAGCACCAAGCAGUGAGAUUGAGUCAUUGGUCCUUGCAGACUCUCUUUUGGAAAUUAUUGAGAGCUCCUCAACUACUACUGAAGCUUUUUUGCCUCGGGUGGAUUUGGACGCUUGCUUAGACUUACUGCAAUCAUUCUCAAGGAUUCCAUUUGAAGCCUUACAAAAGCCUAUUAUUAAAAAUGGUUUCCUUUAGUGCUGCAAAGUAUUCGAGCAAUCCAACAUGGCCUUUUCAAGUCACUUAUCCCAAGCAGCAUCCACCUUAGAUUGUCAUGUCAAUAUCUACUAGAUGGCCAAAGCUACAGAAGAGAAAUUGCUAAAAGGUAAGGAGUUUGUCUCCCAUAUACAUGCUAAAGUGUUUGAAUUAAAGGGACAACAUUUCUAUGCCUCCUAGUUUCGAAUCCAACUCUUAGAGAAGAAAGCCCAACUGGAAGAGGAGCUAGCCGCAGUCAAUCUAGCCUUGGAUCGAAAUGCCAAAAAGCUCCAAAUUACUAACCAAGGACUGGUUGACAGAAGGCAGGACAUGAUUAUAGUCAUUCAAUUGUUCCUAUCCCUUAGGAGUAGAGAAUCAAUUGUAAGGGAACAACUAAAACACUGUAAUGAUUUUUGGGCUAAUUUAUGGCUACAUGUACUUAAAUCUUUGUGAAAUGAAAUCCUCAUUAUUUAUCCAAGUGUUCCAUGCUCUUUUACUAUUCUUACUUAGCAUUUCUUACAGUUCUUGUGUUUCCCACACAGUUGAAUAAUAAGGCUUCAAAUACUUGCCAUUGAUUUUCUUGGGAUGUACAUAGCCAUUAAGAUUUCUCAGAUGGUAUGCUUUUCCAGGCAAAACUCUAUGAACUUGAUAUGAUACUUUCCAGUUAGGUGACCAUUUGCCAAAUUUAUAGCUUUUACUUCUUAUCGGAAGUAUUGUUUUUCACACCAAAUCACCUUCAUCAAAGCUAAUGUGCUUCUUAUUAUAGCUUUUGGCUGCCUUCUUCUUUUGGAAAAGAAUACUAUUUAAUGCCAAUAUUCUAGCUUCAUCUGUAUUUUCUACUUCCAAGAACAUGUUAAUUGGUCUUGGGACUUCACCCUUAAGGACUUAAUGUUAAUCUCCACAGUCAACACUGUAUCAUGUCCAUAUAUUAAAGCAUAAGGAGUAAUCUUUGUACUUGACAUUGGAGAAAUUCUAUAA